GACGAACCGAGCGAACGUUGUUCGGAAUCACUGGGCUUAAAGGGUGCGUAGGCGGGCUGCCAAGUUUGGGGUGAAAUCCUCCGGCUCAACCGGGGAAGUGCCUCGAAUACUGGCGGUCUGGAGGGAGGUAGGGGCGUGCGGAACUAACGGUGGAGCGGUGAAAUGCGUUGAUAUCGUUAGGAACUCCGGUGGCGAAGGCGGCACUCUAGACCUCUUCUGACGCUGAGGCACGAAAGCCAGGGGAGCGAACGGG
Molecule: ribosomal RNA, 253 nt
Filed under: uncultured bacterium
Lineage: Bacteria
Description: partial 16S ribosomal RNA
Rfam family: Bacterial small subunit ribosomal RNA
Source: RNAcentral